Molecule: long non-coding RNA, 2746 nt
Filed under: Homo sapiens (human)
Lineage: Eukaryota; Metazoa; Chordata; Mammalia; Primates; Hominidae
Description: HSALNT0387835
Source: RNAcentral
UCCAUCUCAAAAAAAAAAAAAAAGGUCACAAAUCCUCUGAACGCACAGGCAUAAAGGGUUGUGGGGCUCGGUCACUUCCUAGAACACAAAAAACCCUUUCGGAAGUUUGGUUGGGUUGGUCACGGGACAAGGCUGGAGAGAGGGUGAGGGCACACAUUUGGAUGUGUUUGGGAGGAGUUUAAGUGUAGUCCUAUUAAUAUUGUUUGAGAUAAGUUAAAAUUGUUUCCUGGCAAUUCAUCAGAAGCAGUGUGGGGUGUUGGCAAGAGGCCUCCUCUGGGGAAAGAACACUGGGUUCUGUCUCCUCUGGCCUAUGACCUUAAGCAAGUUAUUAGCUUCCUCAAGCCUCAAUCUUCUCAGCGGUAAAAUGGGGAUGAUAAUUAUCUGCAAAGCAAGGCUAAUAUCAGCCUUGGGUUUCCCACAGGGUGGUUAUGAAGAUAAAAUGCAAUAAAUGUGUGUGAGGGCAACUGACGAGCCAGGAAGCCUUGGCAUCCAGAGUUAUUACUGGGACGUCAUGGGAAAUGAGGAUAUGGGAACAGAGUAUUUAUGCAUUUAUUCAAACUCAUCUCUAACAACCGUGCUUUGAAGGCUGGCUGCAUCCCAGGCCCUACAGGUGAACCGUGACUCUCAGCUCUCAGCUUCAGCCCCUGCUGUAGUGGCGGCAGCAGCAGAGGCUCACGUAGCCUCAAGCAGUAGGGGUUUUGUUUAAGGAUUCGGGUGCCCCAUGGUUUGGGGGUUUUGUUUUUAUUUUGCUGCAUGAUUUGGAUUCAAGAAGAAGGAUCUGUAGGACAGUGGGCUCCCGGGUCUGCCUUUGCCCUCAUAGCCUGCAGCAGAGCAGGACGUUCGCUUUCCCUUCUCCGCCUGUGUGUUCUUCCUGCACUGCCUAACUGCUGCUUGCUCAUUUGUGCUUCCGUGUCACCCCUCCUCAGCCCUCUGAACUCUGCACGUCAGGACUUGGCACACUUCCUAACUGCUGCUUACUCAUUUGUACUUCCGCGUCACCCCUCCUCAGCCCUCUGAACUCUGCGCUUGGACUUGGUGUGACUUCCCUUCCCCGCCUAUUCUCUAGAGGCAGUCUCUUGGUGACUCCUGGUUUGGGUCAGGGCACGCCUUAGGUCUCUGGAUGGCUACCAACCCCAGGUUCCCUCAGCUCUAGCCCCAUAAGAGAGGAGGCCUCAGGAGCGCCUAGGGCAGCCCUUUCAGCCUGGGCUGUGGGAAGGGAAGGUGGACAGAGAGGAGACCCCAUGCCUUUGUUCCCUGUUGAUGCAGAAGCAUUCUAGGCUCUGUCCCUUAUUCCUGCUGUGGGCUGAAGCUUCAGGCAAGGUGCUCUACAAACUUCAGUUGCCUCAUCUAUCAAACAGUAACGUUUAACAUUCCAGAGACAGAAGUUGAUCUUUGGGACUUUUUUUGAUUUUAAGAUCUAGGCUGGCUGGGGCGGUGGCUCAUGCCUGUAAUCCCAGCACUUUGAGAGGCCGAGACCGGUGGAUCACGAGAUCAUCAGGAGAUGAGACCAUCCUGGCUAACAUGUUAGCCUGGCCUCCAGAGCUCUUGGACUGCAGCACCCAUAAUGAUGGCCAAAGCCGCCCCCACGGCGACUCCUCCUGCUGAAGCAAAGUCAGGCAGAACAAUAAGAUGAGCAUGGUGGUGCAGGCCUGUAAUCUCAGCUCCUCAGGCGGGAGGAUCACUUGAUCCCCGGAAGUUUGAAGCUGGACUGCGCUGACCGCACCUGUGAAUACCACUGCCCGUCAAUCAGCCUAGGGGAAACAUUCUCGAGUGCGAGCAUGACGGCUUAGGUUGAUGUUUUUCAAAUUUUCCCAAUGAUGAGUAUUGUAAGGGACCAAAAUAAAAAAAUGCCAAUGCCUAGUCCCCUCUCAUCUAGAAUAAUUCCAUAGGUGAUGAUGGGGUCCAGGACUCUGAAUUUCGUCAAUUUUACCAAAUACUUCGUCCAGUGAGGCAAAUAUGGAAACACUUGGAUCACCUCUUCGUGAACGCACAUCAGCGCAUACGCCGGCUGUUUUUAUCAGGCGCUCACCCCUCAUCCAAUGGCGUGACUAGUUGUGGGUGGAGCCCGAAAUCUGGCUGCCUAGAGAAGGCUGAAGGUCCAGUUAUAGCAUAACUAAUGUUUCCCCAGAGCUCACAUACGUGCCAAGCACCGUGCUACAGCCUCCACAGCCCCUUCAUUUAAUCUUCCCGAUGGGCCUAUGAAAUAGGUGCUCCUGGCCCGCACCGUGGCUCAUGCCUCUAAUCCCAGCACUUUGGGAAGCUGAGGAGGGAGGGUCGCUUGAGUCCAGGAUUUCAAGACCAGCCUGGGAAACACACAGAGAGCCUAUCUCUACGAAAAUUUAAAAAAUUAGCCGGGUGUGGUGAUGCCUGACUGUGGUCCCACCUACUUAGUAGGCUAAGGUGGGAGGAUCCUCUGAGCCCGGGAAGCUGAGGCUGCAGUUAGCACUGCACUCCAGCAUGGGCGACAGAGUGAGACCCUGACUCAAAAAAAAAAAAAAAAAAGAAUAGGUGCUACUUGUAGUUCCCAUUUUACCCACCAAGAAACUGAAGAUCUGAGAGACAAAGCCUACAGGGUGACCGCUAGUCACUGGUAGGGCUGGGAUUUGAACAGGGGCGGUUUAACAACUGAUCUCUCGACCAUAAUGCGUGUUGCCCAAGAAAAAAGACCGUCCUCACGGUCCUAUCCACUCCGGACUUUGCAAUUCCGUUAUUUCGUAAAUUGAGGCCUAUAAAUAGUUUGCUUACC